This 478-nucleotide ribosomal RNA is filed under the name uncultured bacterium. RNAcentral describes it as "partial 16S ribosomal RNA". It matches the Rfam family "Bacterial small subunit ribosomal RNA", at positions 28 to 507 of the family's 1533-position model. The record is from RNAcentral.
GAUGAACGCUAGCGGCAGGCUUAACACAUGCAAGUCGAGGGGUAUUUAUCUUCGGAUAGAGAGACCGGCGCACGGGUGCGUAACGCGUAUGCAAUCUACCUUUUACAGAGGGAUAGCCCAGAGAAAUUUGGAUUAAUACCUCAUAGUAUAUAGACUCGGCAUCGAGAUUAUAUUAAAGUCACAACGGUAAAAGAUGAGCAUGCGUCCCAUUAGCUAGUUGGUAAGGUAACGGCUUACCAAGGCUACGAUGGGUAGGGGUCCUGAGAGGGAGAUCCCCCACAAUGGGACUGGGAACCGGACCAGACUCCUACGGGAGGCAGCAGUUAGGAAUAUUGGACAAGGGGCGCAAGCCUGAUCCAGCCAUGCCGCGUGCAGGAUGACGGUCCUAGGGAUUGUAAACUGCUUUUAUACGAGAAGAAACACUGCUACGUGUAGCAGCUUGACGGUAUCGUAAGAAUAAGAAUCGGCUAACUCCGUG